AGAGUUACUGCAGUUUUUAUAUAGGAACUGUGAUUUCUCCUGCCAUGUUUUGCCACUUCUUUGGUUUUAGCUUCCCACCUCCGUGCUGUCUGAGAUUACAAGGCCUUGUUAACCAGAACAUAAGAUCUUAGUAUGACAGCUGGUUCUGUCAUAAUCUGUGAUGAUAUAAUGUGUGUCACUUCUUCUCUUGAUUCAGUCUAACCAGGACAGGGCACCCUGAGGCAUCUCCUCACCUACCCUGUAAACAACAGUGAUUUCUGAAGACUCUGAGAACUAAUGCAACUAGUUAGCCAUUUGCAAAGAUGCAGCACAGAUGUCAACACUGCUGUUAUGAACUCAAAGUUUGAAACCUUUGACUUCACGAGUGUUUCACCACUCAUGCUUCAUGGCUCACGGCUGGAAGAGCUCUUCACGGCAGCAUCCUCAGCACCACGAAUGAACAGUCAAAAACAGACAAAAAUCUCACUUGAGGUUUUUAAAAAAAUAUCCUUUGUAUUUGAUGCUUGCCCUCCUGGUCGCCUAUAAAAUGCUGUGCCCCAAAAUGGCAUUACGUGAACAAUAAUCAUUCUCUGAAAUAGAACCUCUCUCAAAUCUCCUUCACUUGUGUUUGUUGCUGUUGUGACUCUUCACCUGCUGGCCUUUAUCUAGCAAAGCAAGGUGAGUUCAAAGACGGCUCUGGAGGUCUGUAACGAUUUUAAUGAUGAGGUGAAGUUGGAAGGUCUUGUGUAUUAUGAACUUAAUGGGGCAUUCUUCUCAUUUAUGCUGACAUCCUUUACAUGGAGUUGUGAAAAGGAAAAGGUAUGGACAAGUGAUCACAAGCACUUGAUUUAUUAAGAAAUAACUGCCCCUUGGCUGUAACUGAAGGCCUGGUGAGACAAACAAAUAUGUAAUGUAAGCCCAUAGAAUCCUACUGGAGUUACAAUAGGUUUAAGUCCCCAUUGUCUUCUCCAGCUUGCCUUGCUUUGCUAUAUGAAGCCAUCAGAUAAAGAACAAUGACAAGAAUCAAUAGCAGAGCUGUGUGAAUAACUGACAUUUUGAUUUUUCCUGGCCAGGCUAAAAAAUGACGGGAGAAAUUAAUUUGCAGUUGACCUGCAAUGAAUGAUUUCCAACAUUUUUGGUAACCACUUUAAGUUAGCUGUAACAUUUUCUUCAGCCUCAGAUUAAAUAUUUUUUUUCCGUGUCUUCAGCAUCCAGAAGUUUUUAAAUUAAAAAUUAAAUUGAAGGAAAUGUUAGAACAGAAGUGGCA
Molecule: long non-coding RNA, 1246 nt
Filed under: Anas platyrhynchos platyrhynchos (common mallard)
Lineage: Eukaryota; Metazoa; Chordata; Aves; Anseriformes; Anatidae
Description: lncRNA (ENSAPLG00000023237.1)
Source: RNAcentral